CUCUGCAGCAUCGAAGCCGUUGAUCAAGUGGAGCGCUCACGCUAUUCGUUAUAACUCUGCGACACGGGUCUGAGCCCCCACUCGAAGGGUCCAAGAAGGCAAGAACGUUCACUCCUCGCCACUCCUGGAAUCUUCAUUCCGAAGCAUCAUCCCCCUCCAACUCUACUGUCACCUCCGUAUCUAGGGUUCUUAAUCUCCAACAACAAGUGUGAAUGGCGGGAGGCGGCGCAGCUGCUAAGGCAAACUCCGGCGGCAAUAGUAGCGUGCGUAUCGUUGUCGCCGGUGACUCCGGCACAGGGAAAUCGAGCUUGAUUGUUACCGCUGCUGCCGAUACUUUUCCGACCAACGUCCCCCCUGUGUUGCCACCCACCAGGUUGCCCGUUGACAUGUUCCCCGAUCGAGUCCCUGUCACAAUUCUCGAUACUUCUUCUAGUUUGGAGAACAGAGGUAGACUGGCCGAGGAACUGAAGCGAGCGGAUGCUGUUGUGCUUACUUAUGCCUGUGAUCAGCCUGCCACCCUUGACCGGUUGAGUACUUUUUGGCUCCCCGAACUUCGUAGAUUAGAGGUAAAGGUGCCCGUGAUAGUGGUUGGUUGCAAGCUAGAUUUGAGAGAUGACCAGGAUCCAGUGAUUUUGGAGCAGGUGAUGUCACCAAUAAUGCAGCAGUUUAAGGAGAUUGAAACUUGUAUGGAGUGUUCAGCAUUUAAACAUAUUCAGAUCCCUGAAGUUUUCUUCUAUGCUCAAAAGGCAGUUCUUCAUCCGACAGCUCCUUUAUUCGAUCAGGAAGCGCAAACUCUAAAGCCACGGUGCGUGAGAGCUUUAAAACGGAUAUUCAUUCUCUGUGAUCAUGACAGGGAUGGUACACUCAAUGAUGCAGAGUUGAAUGAUUUUCAGGUGAAGUGUUUCAAUGCUCCAUUACAACCUUCUGAAAUAGUGGAAGUUAAGAGGGUUGUGCAAGAAAAACUACCUGAAGGGGUUAGUGAUCGUGGUCUUACUUUGACCGGAUUCCUCUUUCUUCAUGCAUUAUUCAUAGAAAAGGGCCGCCUUGAGACAACAUGGACUGUGCUAAGGAAAUUCGGAUACAAUAAUGAUAUCAGACUCAGUGAUGAUCAGCUUCCACCUCCAAUUAAACGAGCACCUGACCAGAGUACGGAGCUGACAAGUGAAGCACUGGAAUUUCUCAGGGGAAUCUUUCUUUUGUUCGACAUUGAUGGUGAUGGAACCCUUAAAGAAGGUGAGCUUGAAGAUCUUUUUUCUACUGCACCAGAAAGUCCUUGGGAGGAAGCUCCAUAUAAGAACACUGCAGAGAAAACUGUCCUAGGAGGACUAUCACUUGAUGGAUUUUUGUCUGAGUGGGCUCUUAUGACACUUGUGGAUCCAAUUCGUACCAUGGAGAAUCUUAUAUAUAUUGGAUAUGGUGGUGAUCCUUCUUCUGCCAUUCGUGCCACUCGGAGAAAACGUUUUGAUCGGAAAAAACAACAAUCAGACAGAACUGUUUACCAUUGUGUUGUUUUUGGGCCAAAAAGAGCUGGAAAAUCUGCAUUAUUAAAUUCUUUCAUUGGAAGGCCUUUCUCAGAUGAUUAUAUUCCAACCACUGAUGAGCAAUACGCUGUUAAUGUUGUUGAUCUACCUGGGGGAACUAAGAGGACUCUUGUACUUCAUGAGAUGCCUGAAGAGGGAGUUCAAAAGUUGUUGUCUAAGAGAGAUACUUUGGCAGCUUGUGACAUAGCAGUGUUUGUUCAUGAUAGUUCUGACGAGUACUCAUGGAAGAGAGCAACUGAAUUGCUUGUGGAAGUUGCUAGCCAUGGGGAAGUGACUGGCUAUGAGGUGCCUUGCCUCAUUGUUGCAGCUAAAGAUGAUCUAGAUCCAUUUCCAACUGAGAUACAAGAUUCCACAAGGGUAAGUCAGGAUAUGGGAAUAGAGGCUCCUAUACCUAUCAGCACAAAGCUAGGAGAUCUUAAUAAUGUUUUCCCAAGAAUUGUGAAUCCAGCUGAGCACCCUCACUUGAGCAUUCCUGAAACUGAAGCUGGAAGAAGCCGCAAGCAAUACCAUCGGCUUAUCAACCGCUCUCUGAUGUUUGUAUCAGCGGGAGCUGCAGUAGCCAUUGUUGGGUUGGCGGCGUAUCGGGUUUAUGCAGCAAGGAAAAGUGCUUCCAGUUAAAAGAGUGAAGGUUUAUGGGCUCCAUUUUAAUAGGUUUACCUCGCCUUAAUUAUCUCAGCAUGGCUCUUUUUGUAAAGAAUUUGUAGGUUUCAGUUCUAAAGAAGCAUAUAUAUAUAUAUAUAUAUAUAUAUAUAUAUAUAUGUAUAACAUAAAAAGCCUCACCUUAGCUCUUAAAAGUUGUUUUUAGUGGGUCUUGGCAUUGGUGAUUUCUAAUGCUGCAACAAAAAAAAAGAAAAAAGAAAAAAAAAGAGAAUUUUGAAAUAUAACAUCCAAGCUUGGUGAGGAGAAGCCUUCCAAUAUGGAAUCACGGAUUGCUAGAAGUAGAUUUUUUUUUUAUUUGAAAGUUGUUAUUGCGAUUGCCAUUUUUCCUUGGUAAUUGCAUAUUUGAUGAUGUAAUACAAUAAACUAUAAAAGGGUUAAAUUUUUAAUUUUA
Molecule: RNA transcript, 2592 nt
Organism: Diospyros lotus (date-plum)
Lineage: Eukaryota; Viridiplantae; Streptophyta; Magnoliopsida; Ericales; Ebenaceae
Gene name: mitochondrial Rho GTPase 1-like
Exons: 16
Source: RefSeq, a predicted model, not a curated record